ACUCCUACGGGAGGCAGCAGUGGGGAAUAUUGCACAAUGGGCGCAAGCCUGAUGCAGCCAUGCCGCGUGUAUGAAGAAGGCCUUCGGGUUGUAAAGUACUUUUCAGCAGUGAGGAAGGUGGGGUACGUUAAAUAGCGUGCUCGUUUUGACGUAGCUGCAGAAAGAAGCNCCGGGCUAACUCCGUGCCAGCAGCCGCGGUAAUACGGAGGGUGCGAGCGUUAAUCGGAAUUACUGGGCGUAAAGCGCAUGCAGGUGGUUUGUUAAGUCAGAUGUGAAAGCCCGGGGCUCAACCUCGGAAUAGCAUUUGAAACUGGCAGACUAGAGUACUGUAGAGGGGGUAGAAGUUUCAGGUGUAGCGGUGAAAUGCGUAGAGAUCUGAAGGAAUACCGGUGGCGAAGGCGGCCCCCUGGACAGAUACUGACACUCAGAUGCGAAAGCGUGGGGAGCAAACAGGAUUAGAUACCCUGGUAGCUACG
RNAcentral lists this ribosomal RNA (476 nucleotides) under uncultured bacterium. RNAcentral describes it as "bacterial SSU rRNA". It matches the Rfam family "Bacterial small subunit ribosomal RNA", at positions 335 to 799 of the family's 1533-position model. The record is from RNAcentral.